RNAcentral lists this unclassified non-coding RNA (210 nucleotides) under plant metagenome. Its description in RNAcentral is "partial contains small subunit ribosomal RNA, internal transcribed spacer 1, and 5.8S ribosomal RNA". The record is from RNAcentral.
UCUCCGUUGGUGAACCAGCGGAGGGAUCAUUACUGGAAUCGCAAGAACCCACAACCCCUGUGAACCUACCGAAACGUUGCCUCGGCGGGCGCCCGGCCCCGCGCCGGGCGUCGAGCCCGCCGGUGGCCCACUACUCUGUCUCUGCAGCGUGGCAUCUCCGAGUACAAGAAAAACAAGUCAAAACUUUCAACAACGGAUCUCUUGGCUCUA